GACGAACGCUGGCGGCGUGCUUAACACAUGCAAGUCGAACGGAAAGGCCCUGCUUUUGUGGGGUGCUCGAGUGGCGAACGGGUGAGUAACACGUGAGUAACCUGCCCUUGACUUUGGGAUAACUUCAGGAAACUGGGGCUAAUACCGGAUAGGAGCUCCUGCUGCAUGGUGGGGGUUGGAAAGUUUCGGCGGUUGGGGAUGGACUCGCGGCUUAUCAGCUUGUUGGUGGAGUAGUGGCUUACCAAGGCUUUGACGGGUAGCCGGCAUGAGAGGGUGACCGGCCACAUUGGGACUGAGGGACGGCCCAGACGCCUACGGGAGGCAGCAGUGGAGAAUAUUGCGGAGUGGGCGGAAGCCUGAGGCAGCAACGCCGCGUGCGGAAUGACGGCCUUCGGGUGGUAAACCGCUUUCGCCUGUGACGAAGCGUGAGUGACGGUAAUGGGUAAAGAAGCACCGGCUAACUACGUG
RNAcentral lists this ribosomal RNA (468 nucleotides) under uncultured bacterium. Its description in RNAcentral is "partial 16S ribosomal RNA". It matches the Rfam family "Bacterial small subunit ribosomal RNA", at positions 28 to 507 of the family's 1533-position model. The record is from RNAcentral.